UGAUAAUUUGGCAACCCAAGGGCAAACUGCAAGUUAUCAAUUUAAAGAGUCAUAAUUUAAUGCAAUUGUGUAUUGAAUAAUUACUAAUUUUUUUUGGCAUGGGGAUAGACAAGAUAGAUAGGGAAGGCAGUGACCCCAGUUAAAUAUAAAUCAUAAUUUCUACAAUCAAGAAGGUUAUUGAGACGAAGUGAUAUAUAGAAAACUGUUAAAUAACUCGGCAGCAUUUGAGUAUUGGCAUAGGAGUGAUUUUAAAAAUAGAACAAGAAAUGAGAUUGAAGAAAGAGAUCAAUGAAGACGUAUUUGGAGGAAACUGUGCUGGAGGAGCUGGGAAUUAAGUUAGCUUUGGGGUGUGGAGAGGAUUCGGAGAGGAAUUGGGAAGAAGGGUCUAUUGUUUUUAGUUCUACCUCAUGUUGUAUUAAAAUAGUUUCUUGAACUUUAAAUUGUAGGCUGGAGGAGAUAGCCUAGUCAGUUACCAGUUACUGAGCAUCACCAAGGAGUUGAGGACAUCACAGGUGACCUUCCUGGGUGACCAGCCUUCCCACCUCCACGCAAGUCUGCGUGUGGUGGUGCACUGCCAAACGAGGGCCUGGCUGACAUUUUCUAGCAGAGCAUGGAUAAAGUAACCACCUCAUCAGAUUGUCUGCGGAUUCAUCGAGCUGUGUGUCAAGUGCUUCCAAAAUGAGGUUGGUGGAGCCGGUGGCUCCUCUUCAACGUGUUGCAUUGGCUGUCCCAUUGGACCCCUUGGCUUGACCAGCAUCUCUGUGCGGCUGACUACCAUGUUGACAUCUCCUAGUCCACCCUCAAUCCUAAAUUCUAGGCUCGUAUGCCCAGCUGUCUUCAUGGCCAUCCAAGAGGUGGCAGCACAAGAGAAGGUUCAGGAUUGCUUAGGCUCCUCCCCCUCCAAUGCUGUGCACUAUUGCAAAAGUUACUCUCUGUGCCUCAGCUUCCUAUGCGUUAGUUGGGAUAACAAUAUCUCUCUCUGGUGUGUUAAGAAGAUUAAAUGAGUUAAUAU
Molecule: long non-coding RNA, 1012 nt
Filed under: Equus caballus (horse)
Lineage: Eukaryota; Metazoa; Chordata; Mammalia; Perissodactyla; Equidae
Description: lncRNA (ENSECAG00000046645.1)
Source: RNAcentral